Molecule: ribosomal RNA, 254 nt
Filed under: uncultured bacterium
Lineage: Bacteria
Description: partial 16S ribosomal RNA
Rfam family: Bacterial small subunit ribosomal RNA
Source: RNAcentral
UACGUAGGGUGCAAGGCGUUGUCCGGAAUUAUUGGGCGUAAAGAGCUCGUAGGCGGUUUGUCGCGUCUGCUGUGAAAACUCGGGGCUUAACUCCGGGCCUGCAGUGGGUACGGGCAGACUAGAGUGCGGUAGGGGAGACUGGAAUUCCUGGUGUAGCGGUGAAAUGCGCAGAUAUCAGGAGGAACACCGGUGGCGAAGGCGGGUCUCUGGGCCGUAACUGACGCUGAGGAGCGAAAGCGUGGGGAGCGAUCCGG